This 843-nucleotide ribosomal RNA is filed under the name uncultured bacterium. RNAcentral's name for it is "bacterial SSU rRNA". It matches the Rfam family "Bacterial small subunit ribosomal RNA", at positions 8 to 812 of the family's 1533-position model. The record is from RNAcentral.
AGAGUUCUUUCCUGGCUCAGGAUGAACGCUGGCGGCGUGCCUAAUACAUGCAAGUCGAGCGAACUUAACUUAAUGAUUGAAGUGCUUGCACUGAUUGACUUAAGAGCGGUGAGCGGCGGAUGGGUGAGUAACACGUGGGUAACCUGCCCUUAAGUGGGGGAUAACAUUUGGAAACAGAUGCUAAUACCGCAUAAAUCCUCAAGCCACAUGGUUUGAGGCUGAAAGAAGGCUUCGGCUUUCACUUAAGGAUGGACCCGCGGCGCAUUAGUUAGUUGGUGAGGUAAUGGCUCACCAAGACCGUGAUGCAUAGCCGACCUGAGAGGGUGAUCGGCCACAUUGGGACUGAGACACGGCCCAAACUCCUACGGGAGGCAGCAGUAGGGAAUCUUCCACAAUGGACGCAAGUCUGAUGGAGCAACGCCGCGUGAGUGAAGAAGGCUUUCGGGUCGUAAAACUCUGUUGUUGAAGAAGAACACUAGUGAGAGUAACUGUUCAUUAGUUGACGGUAUUCAACCAGAAAGCCACGGCUAACUACGUGCCAGCAGCCGCGGUAAUACGUAGGUGGCAAGCGUUAUCCGGAUUUAUUGGGCGUAAAGCGAGCGCAGGCGGUUUCUUAAGUCUGAUGUGAAAGCCCCCGGCUCAACCGGGGAAGUGCAUCGGAAACUGGGAAACUUGAGUGCAGAAGAGGACAGUGGAACUCCAUGUGUAGCGGUGAAAUGCGUAGAUAUAUGGAAGAACACCAGUGGCGAAGGCGGCUGUCUGGUCUGUAACUGACGCUGAGGCUCGAAAGCAUGGGUAGCGAACAGAAUUAGAUACCCUGGUAGUCCAUGCCGUAAACGAUGA